Molecule: long non-coding RNA, 3223 nt
Organism: Mizuhopecten yessoensis (Yesso scallop)
Lineage: Eukaryota; Metazoa; Mollusca; Bivalvia; Pectinida; Pectinidae
Exons: 3
Source: RefSeq, a predicted model, not a curated record
UUUCUCACACAAACCAAUGACGUAACAAUCAAUACCUGCUCCCAAGAGAAGAUAAUUCUGCAAUACGCAAAGACGGAUUAACUAGCUAACUGAAUUUGCACAGAAAUUUGCAUAAGGAUCGCUAGAACCUGCGUCCAAGUUGAAAAGACUUCAUUGAAUUCCAGCAUACCAGUAGCUAAUCAUUGGAUUCUAGCAUACCAGUAGCUAAUCAUUGGAUUCCAGCAUACCAGUAGCUAAACAUUGGAUUCCAGCAUACCAGUAGCUAAUCAUUGAAUUCCAGCAUACCAGUAGGUAAUCAUUGAAUUCCAGCAUACCAGUAGCUAAUCACUGGAUUCCAGCAUACCAGUAGGUAAUCAUUGGAUUCCAGCAUACCAGUAGGUAAUCAUUGGAUUCCAGCAUACCAGUAGCUAAUCAUUGGAUUCCAGUAGCUAAUCAUUGGAUUCCAGCAUACCAGUAGCUAAUCAUUGGAUUCCAGCAUACCAGUAGCUAAUCAUUGGAUUCCAGCAUACCAGUAGCAAAUCAUUGGAUUCCAGCAUACCAGUAGCUAGUCAUUGGAUUCCUGCAUACCAGUAGCUAGUCAUUGGAUUCCAGCAUACCAGUAGCUAAACACAGGAUUCCAGCAUACCAGUAGGUAAUCAUUGGAUUCCAGCAUUCCAGUAGGUAAUCACUGGAUUCCUGCAUACCAGUAGGUAAUCACUGGAUUCCAGCAUACCAGUAGGUAAUCAGUGGAUUCCAGCAUACCAGUAGCUAAUCAUUGGAUUCUAGCACACCAGUAGCUAAUCAUUGGAUUCCAGCAUACCAGUAGGUAAUCAUUGGAUUCCAGCAUACCAGUAGGUAAUCAUUGGAUCCCAGCAUACCAGUAGGUAAUCAUUGGAUCCCAGCAUACCAGUAGGUAAUCAUUGGAUCCCAGCAUACCAGUAGGUAAUCAUUGGAUCCCAGCAUACCAGUAGGUAAUCAUUGGAUCCCAGCAUACCAGUAGGUAAUCAUUGGAUCCCAGCAUACCAGUAGGUAAUCAUUGGAUCCCAGCAUACCAGUAGGUAAUCAUUGGAUCCCAGCAUACCAGUAGGUAAUCAUUGGAUCCCAGCAUACCAGUAGGUAAUCAUUGGAUCCCAGCAUACCAGUAGGUAAUCAUUGGAUUCCAUCAGAGUGUGAGUAGGGGAAGAGAAACCCUGUGGCCGGUCCACAAUAUAUACAACUUUUACCACACAAACAGUUAAGGUGAAGGAUGGAUGCUUACCUAUGUCUGGUCUGUGUGACAAGGUUUUUCUUUUUCGUUCUGAGAAAUAUGUUGCAACAUUUAAUUAAAACAUUCACCAUAAAAAUGCCGUUGACAAGUGGUCUGCUGGUAAAAACAAACAUGGGGUAUAUUAGUAAAAUAAAAGUGAGCACUUCAACCAGGUUAGGAGUGUUACAUCUAUAUGUACAUUAUCAAUUCAUUUGCUGUUAAUGUCGUCAGUCAUUUGUGCAGGGAAUUUUCCCCCUAUUUCUAUGGCUAAAAAUAGAAUACAUAGAAACAUGCUUCCUACAUGGUGAAAAAAUAACUUCAUUCAACAGAUAGCUGGCUGCAAAGAAAUGCUGAUGAUGUGAAGCAGAUUCAACGCAAGUCCCACCAAGGCACAGGAGGAAUCUGAUUGUCAAACAAGAAGACAGUAGAUGGUACUGUAAGCUUGUGUAAAUGUGCGGUUUGCAUACAAAACAAAUCAUUAUAUAUUAACUCUGAAAUAUUCCAGAAUGAUUGACUUGUGUUGCUUAUUUCAAAAUCAAAAUGAAAUGAACAUUAAUCAUAUUACUUAAAGAAUUUAUUUAUAUUCAUGUACGUAUUACCCUGUUAAUAUUUACCAAACACAUUAAGAGGACAAUAUAAAAAAAACAUGAUUUUUUUAAUUGAUUUGAUUUUCACCCAUUGAUCAAUGUUCAGUUAAUAGUAAUGUUAAAUUAAACAUGUUUAAAAAAACAAAACAAAAACAACAAAAAAACUACUAUACCAUGAGGUUACACAGCUGGAGCGUGGGUAUACAUAGCUGCUGCCACCAGGCUGUAAAACCUAGUCCAUCAUGUCUCUCAUCUACAAACAUCUAGUGCCCACAUUUACCAAAAACAAAUCAUAAACAAUUUGUACAUCACUUCUUUGCAUCAAUACAUAAGGAGUUUGCCACAUACAACACAGAUUUAGAGGACCAAAGGAGUUUUUUAACACUGGUACACUGUGUAUUAUCAGGUAAGUAAUUUUUUGAGAUUCACUAAGCAUGGGAAUGAUUAAAUUUAAGAACUGGACACGAGUUAAAAUUGAAAAUACAACAUAUUUUUAGUUUUUACCAGGUAUAUGGACCAAAUAUUUCCAAAAGAAAAAUGUAUUUAUUUUCUGAACAUGUAUUUUACUACAAAUUUUGGCAUGCUGAAUAUAUAUAAACCCACUUUGGCUUUAAUUGGUCAGUGCCCAAUAUUCCCUGGUAUAUCACAGUGCUGCUGACAAUCAGAACAUCUACAGCAACUGGAUUCAACUUCAAAUAGAACCUCAUCAAAUUGUAAUUUGGAGGACCUUUAAAUAAAAUUUGAACUAAUGAACUAAAAUCUUUCAAAAACAUAUUUUUUUGACUGAAUGCUUUUCUACACUACAAUCUAUUAUAUAUCUGUACUACAAGAAAAAAUCAUUUAAUUCAAAGAUAAAAUUCUAGGUAACAAAUAUAUCCAUGCAUAGUUGUAAAUGGAGAUUGCCUUAAUCUCACUGAGCUACCCUUCCAAUCCUACACUGUACACCAGUCAGCGUUUAUAUAUAGCAGCAUUUAAUUGUACAGCUACUUAAACAAAACAGACACCUGGGGUGAAGGAAGCGUCCUACUGUUCUUAAUUAAACAAUCACCUUUAACAAAUCAGAAAGAUUACUCAUGUCAGGAGCUAGGUGAUAAAGUUUGACCCUCUGUAUUGUUUAUAGAAAUGGGAAAAUACUGUGACAUCACAAAGAAAAUAAUUAAAUGACGUCUCAUUUAGGCCGUAUUGAUGGCUGACCUGACAAUUACAGUGCAGUGGACAGACACUAUAGAAACCAAAUACCACACAAAAAUGUUAUGUUACACUUCAAGUAAGACAAAUAAUUACAGAUCUAGUUGUGUACAAUACAUAACAAAAGGACCAUCUAUUUCAAAAACAACAAAACGUGAAUUUAUGAGAUCAACCAUUAAUUGGGUGCUUUAAAGCAUUUUUUGAUGUGUUGGUCCUAGUAUCA